Tachysurus fulvidraco (yellow catfish) is the source of this 1123-nucleotide long non-coding RNA. RefSeq lists it as uncharacterized. The transcript has 2 exons. The record is from RefSeq and is a predicted model, not a curated record. NCBI's taxonomy places the organism in Eukaryota, Metazoa, Chordata, Actinopteri, Siluriformes, Bagridae.
ACCAGCAUGAUCACAGAGGAACCUCAAAAUAAUAGGAAAAUAAUAGGAAUAACAUGUCCUGCUAUAAUAUUGCCAGCAAUCAAUAGUUUGUUUGUUUAAAGGGGUGGACAAAAAACAUUUCCUCUCAGAAUAGUGGAGCCUGCUAUGCCACCAGGUACACUACUGCUACUGGUAUGUUUUGCAAGCAUGUAUGGGUAUGAGGUCCAAACAUUUUGAAUUGUACCACAGUAGGCAGUGGAUUCGUUUUUCAAUUGAUUUUCAAUAUACAUACAAAUAACCUCUUUUGCUUUGCAGUAAUGAUUAGUGUUUUUUGUGGGCACUAUAAAUAAAAGCCUAAAAGCUUGGACAUGAAAUAGAUUUCGUCUGAAUGACUUACUACCCUUGGAAAUAAAGAGGCAUGUUACCUAUAUUCAUCUUUGUUCGUAUUCCCAGCGUAGUUUUCAACUAGUUCUGGAAUAAAAACCUCCAUCAAAGUCUGUGGAAAAAAGUAGAAGACCACGUGUGGAUAGUCUCACAUAUUACGCACACAUGCAGGCAUGCACUCAUGCAUAUGCAUAUAUAUAUAUAUGUGUGUGUUUUUAAGCUAGGUGACGAUGUUGGCCACUGUAGAAUCAUCUAGGACCUGCAACUAAACCUUUGGUGAAAUGUGAGGUUUCCAGUGCUAGAGGAUGCAAAGCAACCCCAGAGCAUCACAGAGUCAGCACCAUGCUUGACUAUAGGCAGAGUGUUCUUUUCAUCGUCCGCUUCAUUCUUCUUCCUUCAGCAUAUCACUGAUCCAUCGGGCCGAAAAGUUCUAGUUUUGCCACAGAACAGAAUCCCAAAAUGUCUAGGACUGGUACUGGUUCUUAGAAAUCUGGUUACGUAGUGUAACCAAUGUUCCUUUAACACUGAACUUGCAAACUAUGUCUCUAGAUCUAUGUCUCAGAGGCGCUUCCAGAAGUGUCAGUGUGUAUCCUAUUCUUGAAGAUGUUUGUUGCAGUGUACACUAAACUAUGCUCAUGACGCUCAGAUAUCUAUGUCUAUGUGAUAUCCAUAUCACAGUCUAAUCUAUUUCAUCUGAUCAAUAAAUAUAUUAUUUAUUCAGCAUCAAGACACUAUCACUAUCAGGAAAAGGGGGUUAAUA